UCCGGUGAAGUCAUUUCAGCUGUUGACGUCAACACAAAAAUGCAGCGUUUCUUCGCCACUUCCCUAGUGGGUUUUCCAAAAUUACGAUUCGAAGAUGUGCAGAAGAUUGUGGAGUCACCCUCAGCAACACCAUUGUCAAAUAUCAUGGAUUACUCGACCGGAAGUCCCUUUACCCGGUGAAGGCAAAAUCGAACGCCGAACCAGGAAGUUGUGAGAUAGGCCUGAGCAUAGACAUCUUAUAGAAAAAAAAAAAAUAGUCAAACAAACUUAUCCUUUUAUAUAUUGUAUUAUGCAUAAUGUUUCUUAAUUUCAGUUGGUAAAGGGCAGGGCUACGUCUACCUCCAGAAGAGCUGACGAAAGCCUGUCCGUGGCCUCUGAGGAUUCCCCAGAAUUGACAACCUCACACCCACAACCUCAGCCUAAUGAUGAUCAUGGAUAUGCCUUGCCUACUUCUCCUACUGCUGUUAAGGCUAAAAUCAAUCAACAUUUGGCAAGAUUGGAAAGUCUGGAGCGAGAAAAGAAGAAUACCAUGUCCAGAGAAAAGAGGGCAAAGACCACAGUCAAGGCUCUUUUGGGGGAUUUGAGGGAAAAAAACCUCAUUAAUGAAGAGCUCAGUGAGAAGCUUGCGUUCUACUCAGAUCUUAAGAUGGACUUUGUGGCAAAGAAGGGCCAUGAGUACACGCAGAACUGCAGAGAGUUUGCACUCACGCUCCAUCUUCAUGGUCCAAAGGCAUACAAAUGCCUCAGAGAGACUCGA
Gadus morhua (Atlantic cod) is the source of this 757-nucleotide long non-coding RNA. RefSeq lists it as uncharacterized. The record is from RefSeq and is a predicted model, not a curated record. The transcript is spliced from 3 exons. NCBI's taxonomy places the organism in Eukaryota, Metazoa, Chordata, Actinopteri, Gadiformes, Gadidae.